RNAcentral lists this ribosomal RNA (823 nucleotides) under Vibrio natriegens. RNAcentral describes it as "bacterial SSU rRNA". It matches the Rfam family "Bacterial small subunit ribosomal RNA", at positions 56 to 856 of the family's 1533-position model. The record is from RNAcentral. Lineage: Bacteria; Pseudomonadati; Pseudomonadota; Gammaproteobacteria; Vibrionales; Vibrionaceae.
UGCAAGUCGAGCGGAACGAGUUAACUGAACCUUCGGGGAACGUUAACGGCGUCGAGCGGCGGACGGGUGAGUAAUGCCUAGGAAAUUGCCCUGAUGUGGGGGAUAACCAUUGGAAACGAUGGCUAAUACCGCAUGAUGCCUACGGGCCAAAGAGGGGGACCUUCGGGCCUCUCGCGUCAGGAUAUGCCUAGGUGGGAUUAGCUAGUUGGUGAGGUAAGGGCUCACGGAGGCGACGAUCCCUAGCUGGUCUGAGAGGAUGAUCAGCCACACUGGAACUGAGACACGGUCCAGACUCCUACGGGAGGCAGCAGUGGGGAAUAUUGCACAAUGGGCGCAAGCCUGAUGCAGCCAUGCCGCGUGUGUGAAGAAGGCCUUCGGGUUGUAAAGCACUUUCAGUCGUGAGGAAGGUUUAUGCGUUAAUAGCGUAUAGAUUUGACGUUAGCGACAGAAGAAGCACCGGCUAACUCCGUGCCAGCAGCCGCGGUAAUACGGAGGGUGCGAGCGUUAAUCGGAAUUACUGGGCGUAAAGCGCAUGCAGGUGGUUUGUUAAGUCAGAUGUGAAAGCCCGGGGCUCAACCUCGGAAUAGCAUUUGAAACUGGCAGACUAGAGUACUGUAGAGGGGGGUAGAAUUUCAGGUGUAGCGGUGAAAUGCGUAGAGAUCUGAAGGAAUACCGGUGGCGAACGCGGCCCCCUGGACAGAUACUGACACUCAUAUGCGAGAGCGUGGGGAGCAAACACGAUUAGAUACCCUGGGAGUCCCACGCCGUAAACGAUGUCUACUUGGAGGCUGUGAACUUUGAGACGAGGGCUUUCGGAGCUCAC